This 468-nucleotide ribosomal RNA is filed under the name uncultured bacterium. RNAcentral's name for it is "partial 16S ribosomal RNA". It matches the Rfam family "Bacterial small subunit ribosomal RNA", at positions 28 to 507 of the family's 1533-position model. The record is from RNAcentral.
GACGAACGCUGGCGGCGUGCUUAACACAUGCAAGUCGAACGGAAAGGCCCUGCUUUUGUGGGGUGCUCGAGUGGCGAACGGGUGAGUAACACGUGAGUAACCUGCCCUUGACUUUGGGAUAACUUCAGGAAACUGGGGCUAAUACCGGAUAGGGGCUCCUGCUGCAUGGUGGGGGUUGGAAAGUUUCGGCGGUUGGGGAUGGACUCGCGGCUUAUCAGCUUGUUGGUGGGGUAGUGGCUUACCAAGGCUUUGACGGGUAGCCGGCCUGAGAGGGUGACCGGCCACAUUGGGACUGAGAUACGGCCCAGACUCCUACGGGAGGCAGCAGUGGGGAAUAUUGCACAAUGGGCGGAAGCCUGAUGCAGCAACGCCGCGUGCGGGAUGACGGCCUUCGGGUUGUAAACCGCUUUCGCCUGUGACGGAGCGUGAGUGACGGUAAUGGGUAAAGAAGCACCGGCUAACUACGUG